CAAUAGCGUAUAUUAAAGUUGUUGCGGUUAAAAGCUCGUAGUUGGAUUUCUGCUUGGGAGGACCGGUCCGCCCUCUGGGUGAGCAUCUGGUUUUUCCUGGGCAUCCUCUUGGGGAACGUGGCUGCGAUUGAGUUCGUGGCGCGGUACCCAGGACUUUUACUUUGAGGAAAUUAGAGUGUUUCAAGCAGGCAUCUGCCUUGAAUACAUUAGCAUGGAAUAAUAGGAUAGGACCUCGUUUCUACCUUGUUGGUUCGUAGAGGUGAGGUAAUGAUUAAUAGGGAUAGUCGGGGGCAUUCGUACUUAACUGUCAGAGGUGAAAUUCUUGGAUUUGUUAAAGACGAACUACUGCGAAAGCAUUUGCCAAGGAUGUUUUCAUUGAUCAAGAACGAAAGUUAGGGGAUCGAAGACGAUUAGAUACCAU
Molecule: ribosomal RNA, 421 nt
Filed under: uncultured eukaryote
Lineage: Eukaryota
Description: SSU rRNA
Rfam family: Eukaryotic small subunit ribosomal RNA
Source: RNAcentral